UCAAACUUGGUCAUUUAGAGGAAGUAAAAGUCGUAACAAGGUCUCCGUUGGUGAACCAGCGGAGGGAUCAUUACCGAGUUUACAACUCCCAAACCCAGUGUGAACGCUACCAACCUGUUGCCUCGGCGGGAUCUCUGCCCCGGGCGCGUCGCAGCCCCGGACCAAGGCGCCCGCCGGAGGACCAAAAACCCCAAACUCUUGUUGUAGGCCCCCUCGCGGGCUCUCUCUCCUGUCUGAGCCUUUCUCGGCGAACCCCUCCGCGGGCGCCCCGAAAACGAAUCAAAACUUUCAACAACGGAUCUCUUGGUUCUGGCAUCGAUGAAGAACGCAGC
Molecule: unclassified non-coding RNA, 332 nt
Filed under: uncultured fungus
Lineage: Eukaryota; Fungi
Description: partial contains small subunit ribosomal RNA, internal transcribed spacer 1, and 5.8S ribosomal RNA
Rfam family: Eukaryotic small subunit ribosomal RNA (bases 1-73)
Source: RNAcentral